GCUAUGGUGCCCUAGUGGUUAGAGGGUCUGCCUCUGAUGCGGGAGGUCCUGGGUUUGAUCCCCGGGCAAGUCAUACCA
Non-coding RNA from Potamilus streckersoni, 78 nucleotides. Lineage: Eukaryota; Metazoa; Mollusca; Bivalvia; Unionida; Unionidae. The record is from the annotation of a GenBank genome assembly.